UUCAGGUGAAUUUUGAACUCUAUAAUGAUUCUACGGCGACGUUGUUACUGUCAAAGAAGGUUCAGGAUUAUUCAGACAAUUCAAUCUACGAGAUCAGUUUUUGACUCGACAAAAUCCGAAGCAGUCCUAUCUCAGUUGAAGUUUCAGCCAAAUAGUUUCGAUUUUCCCUUGAGAAAUGCCGAUAAUAUUCCAGUCAAAGUGCCAGCUGUACACAAAACAGUUGGCUUCGAACUUCCGGCUUUUUUGGACAAUUUGAGCCGAUCAAUUACGAACUGGAAAAUAUCAGACCCAGUUUCUAAUAAACAAAUAGGUCAAGCUGUAAACGAGCCCUCGGAGCUAGAUAGACGGGUGGAUCUACCGCCUUCUGCGAGAACUGUUGUGCCGAUGUAUGCUAGAAUAGGCGGGAAGUACAAGCGACCUGCGUUCAAAAGACUGAGAAUUAAAAGAAGGCAUUUCAAAAAGGCUCGAAGGAAAAAUCGACACAAGCUGAAACAGCGUGAAAUUUUGAAGCGACAAGAAAAUCUGAAGAAGUGGAAUGAACAAUUGGAGGUUGUUCGGGUUCAAGAGAUUCAAACGAGGUCACGCAUUGAAGAAAUGAAGGACACUCAGCGGGAGUUGGUGAACAGAAUCCAAGAGAUGAUUGAUCAAAACCCUGAGCUGUUGAACAAAAUAGAAGAAAGCGUAGAUCCCGAUAUAAAAGAGAAACUGAGAAUUAUGAACUCGGUGGAAAAAGUUGUGACUAAAGAGGAAAAACUUAUCCAAAAAAUUUAUAAGAAAAGAUAAUUUGAAUAUUGGUCUUUGAAUAAAUUGUUAUAAUGGA
Symsagittifera roscoffensis is the source of this 820-nucleotide long non-coding RNA. RefSeq lists it as uncharacterized. NCBI's taxonomy places the organism in Eukaryota, Metazoa, Xenacoelomorpha, Acoela, Convolutidae. The record is from RefSeq and is a predicted model, not a curated record. The transcript has 2 exons.